RNAcentral lists this unclassified non-coding RNA (1739 nucleotides) under Homo sapiens (human). Its description in RNAcentral is "myelin oligodendrocyte glycoprotein (ENSG00000237834.9)". Lineage: Eukaryota; Metazoa; Chordata; Mammalia; Primates; Hominidae. The record is from RNAcentral.
GGCAGUUCAGAGUGAUAGGACCAAGACACCCUAUCCGGGCUCUGGUCGGGGAUGAAGUGGAAUUGCCAUGUCGCAUAUCUCCUGGGAAGAACGCUACAGGCAUGGAGGUGGGGUGGUACCGCCCCCCCUUCUCUAGGGUGGUUCAUCUCUACAGAAAUGGCAAGGACCAAGAUGGAGACCAGGCACCUGAAUAUCGGGGCCGGACAGAGCUGCUGAAAGAUGCUAUUGGUGAGGGAAAGGUGACUCUCAGGAUCCGGAAUGUAAGGUUCUCAGAUGAAGGAGGUUUCACCUGCUUCUUCCGAGAUCAUUCUUACCAAGAGGAGGCAGCAAUGGAAUUGAAAGUAGAAGUGUCUCACUCUGUCACCCAGGAUUGGUUGCAGUGGCACGAUCAUGGCUCAUUGCAGCCUCCACCUCCCAGGCUCAAGUGAUCCUCCUGACUCAGCCUCUUGAAUAGCUGAGACCACAGGCUUGUGUCACCAUGCCCAGAUCCUUUCUACUGGGUGAGCCCUGGAGUGCUGGUUCUCCUCGCGGUGCUGCCUGUGCUCCUCCUGCAGAUCACUGUUGGCCUCGUCUUCCUCUGCCUGCAGUACAGACUGAGAGGAAAACUUCGAGCAGAGAUAGAGAAUCUCCACCGGACUUUUGAUCCCCACUUUCUGAGGGUGCCCUGCUGGAAGAUAACCCUGUUUGUAAUUGUGCCGGUUCUUGGACCCUUGGUUGCCUUGAUCAUCUGCUACAACUGGCUACAUCGAAGACUAGCAGGGCAAUUCCUUGAAGAGCUACUCUUCCACCUGGAAGCCCUCUCUGGCUAAGGACAGGCAGGUGCCCCUCUCUCCAUCAGAGGACACCUGUACUGGAGAGCAACACAGGAUGGUCUCUGCCAUGAACUGGAGGCCAGGAAUCUCCUCACUGAAAAUUACAGUAUGGUAACUUUGCAAAUGGUGGUUGUUUCUUCCAAGACUCCAGCCCUGAUUGCGCAAAACUGAAAGGCAUGUGAAGGGAAGGAAGAGGAAGAGUGCAAAACAUUGAAGAGAGAGCUGAGUGAGCUGAAGAGUGAGGAUAUGAGUAGCCCCAACCCAAACCUGGAGAUGGGGAGAAACCUACAGAAUACUAGCCAGAGCUCCUCCUUGUCUUGGCAGCCUACUAGGGACCUGGGGAAGCAAAAACGAAAGCUGGGCAACAUGCCUGCUUUAGAAUGUUUUCCUUCUACUUACACAUCUUCCACAGGUCUCAGAAUCUUUCCUUCCUCUCAUCCUUUUCUCCUAUCUUCAUAUCUAUCAGAGUAUCCACUGUUUAUUCAACAACUACUACUUGAUGGUCAGACACAAACAAACAAGCUAGGUGCUAAUUAAUAAAGAUACGAGUUUUGGCCGGGUGCGGUGGCUCACGCCUGUAAUCCCAGCACUUUGGGAGGCCGAGGCGGGCGAAUCACGAGGUCAGGAGUUCAAGACCAGCCUGGCCAACAUGGUGAAACCCCAUCUCUACUAAAAAUACAAACAAUUAACUGAGCAUAGUGGUGGGCACCUAUAAUACCAGCUACUCCGGAGGCUGAGGCAGGAGAAUCGCUUGAACCCAGGAGGCAGAGGUUGCAGUGAGCUGAGAUCGCGCCACUGCACUCUAGCCGGAGUGACAGAGUAAGACUCUGUCUCAAAAAUAAAUAAAUAAAUAAAUAAAUAAAUAAAUAAAUAAAUAAAUAAAUAAAUAAAAAAUAAUAAUACAAGUUUUCAUAAGCACACUUCUAA